GGAGUUAGCCGGUGCUUCUUCUGCGAGUAACGUCACAGAUGUAAGGUAUUAACUUACACCCUUUCCUCCUCGCUGAAAGUGCUUUACAACCCGAAGGCCUUCUUCACACACGCGGCAUGGCUGCAUCAGGGUUUCCCCCAUUGUGCAAUAUUCCCCACUGCUGCCUCCCGUAGGAGUCUGGGCCGUGUCUCAGUCCCAGUGUGGCUGAUCAUCCUCUCAGACCAGCUAGGGAUCGUCGCCUAGGUGAGCCUUUACCUCACCUACUAGCUAAUCCCACCUGGGCUUAUCCAUCAGCGCAAGGCCCGAAGGUCCCCUGCUUUCCCCCGUAGGGCGUAUGCGGUAUUAGCAGUCGUUUCCAACUGUUAUCCCCCACAAAUGGGCAAAUUCCCAGGCAUUACUCACCCGUCCGCCGCUCGUCAUCUUCAAAGCAAGCUUUUAGAAAUGUUACCGCUCGACUUGCAUGUGUUAGGCCUGCCGCCAGCGUUCAAUCUGAGCCAGAAUCGAACCCUGA
Molecule: ribosomal RNA, 511 nt
Filed under: uncultured bacterium
Lineage: Bacteria
Description: partial 16S ribosomal RNA
Source: RNAcentral